AUGCCCUUUUCCAGAGCGCGCUCCGCACACUCUCACGCCCCGCACCGCUCCCUGCUCGCGGCGGGGUGCUCUGGUGGGAGCGCGGCCGUUGGCGGUGAGCCGUUAGGGCAGCGCGUGGCCGUGCGCAGGUGCGCGCGACAGGUGCGGGCGGGCAGUGCUCCACAGCGGGCGGCCCGCGACGCACCGCAACCGGCGCGGCCCUUCUCUGCCGCCGGGCUCCGCGCCGUGCUGACGGCAGGGCUUCCUCUGCUGCAGGCGUCGCCGGACUCCGGCUCUAAAAAGCGACUGCCCUCUCCUCGCGAGCGCUGCGCGGUUUUGGUCUCCUUUGGAAGUGACGUAAGAAGACGGCGGGACUGCUCACCGCAGGGUAGGGAUGAAGCACAAGCACUAGACUUCACGAACAAAUGAGACUUGGGAUGUCAUCUUGUGGUUGUUUGAAGAAAUGCACGAACAUCUU
This 457-nucleotide long non-coding RNA is filed under the name Numida meleagris (helmeted guineafowl). Its description in RNAcentral is "lncRNA (ENSNMEG00000014636.1)". Lineage: Eukaryota; Metazoa; Chordata; Aves; Galliformes; Numididae. The record is from RNAcentral.